RNAcentral lists this ribosomal RNA (425 nucleotides) under uncultured bacterium. RNAcentral describes it as "partial 16S ribosomal RNA". It matches the Rfam family "Bacterial small subunit ribosomal RNA", at positions 354 to 796 of the family's 1533-position model. The record is from RNAcentral.
GUGGGGAAUCUUGCGCAAUGGGCGAAAGCCUGACGCAGCCAUGCCGCGUGAAUGAUGAAGGUCUUAGGAUUGUAAAAUUCUUUCACCGGGGACGAUAAUGACGGUACCCGGAGAAGAAGCUCCGGCUAACUUCGUGCCAGCAGCCACGGUAAUACGAAGGGGGCUAGCGUUGCUCGGAAUUACUGGGCGUAAAGGGCGCGUAGGCGGACAGCUUAGUCAGAGGUGAAAGCCCAGGGCUCAACCUUGGAAUUGCCUUUGAUACUGGCUGUCUUGAGUUUGGGAGAGGUGAGUGGAACUCCGAGUGUAGAGGUGAAAUUCGUAGAUAUUCGGAAGAACACCAGUGGCGAAGGCGACUCACUGGCCCAAUACUGACGCUGAGGCGCGAAAGCGUGGGGAGCAAACAGGAUUAGAAACCCGAGUAGUCC